Molecule: transfer RNA, 88 nt
Filed under: Bacillus thuringiensis
Lineage: Bacteria; Bacillati; Bacillota; Bacilli; Caryophanales; Bacillaceae
Description: tRNA-Ser
Rfam family: tRNA
About the family: Transfer RNA (tRNA) molecules are approximately 80 nucleotides in length.
Source: RNAcentral
GGAGGAUUACUCAAGUGGUGAAGAGGGUAGUUUUGAAAACUACUAGGCGGUAAAACGUGCGUGGGUUCAACCCCCACAUCCUCCUCCA